This 1229-nucleotide long non-coding RNA is filed under the name Coturnix japonica (Japanese quail). Its description in RNAcentral is "lncRNA (ENSCJPG00005007441.1)". Lineage: Eukaryota; Metazoa; Chordata; Aves; Galliformes; Phasianidae. The record is from RNAcentral.
UAAGCCAGUAUCUUUCAGUUAAUGAUUAGGUCUGAAAGUAAAAAAUUACCUUAUCUUGGAUUUCUCUCUUCUUUCUCUGUGAAAGAUAAGCUGCAGUAGGAGCUGGAUGCCCUGUUCUUCCAUGGUUCAACCACCCCCUGCCCUUAAACUGGUGCCGUCACCUCACCAGGGCCAUCAGCCACACUGACACCACUAUGAUGGAUAGCAAAAUGGCAUUUAUUGUGGUGCAGUUAGCACCUUAUAUACUUUAAUCACUUUGUCUAUGCCCCUUGAGAAGAUGUUUGAAAUACGCACCCGAUAUACAUCACAAGGUAGGGGAUGGAGCAGGGAGAGGGCACUGCCACGUCACAACCCGAAUCCUCACUAAUACCUACAACAGAUGUCAUAAUGGGCUCUGACUUGAUCCACCCAUACAAGGACCUGUAUAUAGCAAUAUCAUUCUCAGUACUGUCACAUAAGGCCAUACUACUAAGACGCAUCACCAAUUUUUGUUGCCCAGCGUUUCUAAAACAAAUUCCUCUCCUCCACUUCUUUUACUUUUUCUCAUCUGAGACCAACACAUGGAUCAUCCAACAAAACAUUCUUUUCUUUCCUUUUUCCUACCUCAACAUCAACAGGUCAUUAGUGGAUGGGACCUUGGCAACACUUUGUGCUGGUUCACAGUCGGGAUGUCUGCAGAGAGACCCUGAGAAGAUUCAUGCGGUGGCUUGCAGAGAAGUCUCUGCUGGAACAAGCAUGAACAGACUUAAGAAGGCAGAUGAUUUCUGCAUUUCCACACUGUGGAAAAGAAGCUCAGAACCAAAGGAGAACUAAGAGGAAUCUUUGUUUCCAACUCAGAGAACAACUCUGGUAUGUGAACAGACAGUAAAACCAGUCUGCACCAUCAAACACAAAGGAAGAAAAUGCUAUACUAUGGACAUUUACUGGAAAAUAAUCUUGCAUAUUUGUUUAGGACUGUGUGUUGAACAGCCUUAAAAUUACAAUGCAAGGCAAAAAGAGUCUUUUUCAGAUGCUUGCAUGACUCUAUGUCAAAAUUUUAAAUUCUGUUUGGGUUUCAUUUAUUCUGUUUGUGUUUUACAAAGAGGUAACAGGCAUAACUCUGCAUGGAGGUACCCUUGCAUUUCCACUCCACUGAAGCAUAUACAGAUACCAUCUAAAAAUGUAUAUUUCUUGGCUCUGAUAUUUUUUGCUCUCUCCUCACAGUAAUAAAAGAUAGAUUUUAUGUGCCA